UACGUAGGGUGCAAGCGUUGUCCGGAAUUAUUGGGCGUAAAGAGCUCGUAGGCGGUUUGUUGCGUCGGCUGUGAAAUCCCGAGGCUCAACCUCGGGUCUGCAGUCGAUACGAGCAAACUAGAGUGUUGCAGGGAGACUGGAAUUCCUGGUGAUAGCGGUGAAAUGCGCAGAUAUCAGGAGGAACACCGGUGGCGAAGGCGGGU
This 203-nucleotide ribosomal RNA is filed under the name uncultured bacterium. RNAcentral describes it as "partial 16S ribosomal RNA". It matches the Rfam family "Bacterial small subunit ribosomal RNA", at positions 524 to 726 of the family's 1533-position model. The record is from RNAcentral.